GCACCCGUGGUGAAAUUGGCAUACACGCUAGAUUCAGGUUCUAGUGGCCUCACGGCCGUGGAGGUUCAACUCCUCUCGGGUGCA
This 84-nucleotide transfer RNA is filed under the name Lentisphaerota bacterium. RNAcentral describes it as "Lentisphaerae bacterium (groundwater metagenome) tRNA-Leu". It matches the Rfam family "tRNA". Rfam says of the family: Transfer RNA (tRNA) molecules are approximately 80 nucleotides in length. Their secondary structure includes four short double-helical elements and three loops (D, anti-codon, and T loops). The record is from RNAcentral. Lineage: Bacteria; Pseudomonadati; Lentisphaerota. RNAcentral also lists the same sequence under 3 other names.